CACCGCCCGUCACCCUCCUCAACAACAAACAACAACUUUUAUAAACAAAGACUACUUAUACUAGAGGAGGCAAGUCGUAACAUGGUAAGCGCACCGGAAGGUGUGCUUG
Podarcis lilfordi (Lilford's wall lizard) is the source of this 109-nucleotide non-coding RNA. NCBI's taxonomy places the organism in Eukaryota, Metazoa, Chordata, Lepidosauria, Squamata, Lacertidae. The record is from the annotation of a GenBank genome assembly.